This 26-nucleotide non-coding RNA is filed under the name Mus musculus (house mouse). The record is from RNAcentral. Lineage: Eukaryota; Metazoa; Chordata; Mammalia; Rodentia; Muridae.
UGCCUUUUGGUACCUUCUAUGGCAGG